UUUCCGUAGGUGAACCUGCGGAAGGAUCAUUAAAGAAUUUAAAGAGUGCACUUCAUUGUGGCUCGACAUCUUCUACCAUUCACCCUAGUGCACUGUAAUACCUUUUUUAUUAGACUCUACAAAGUUAUUGAAUGUAACACUUUUUAAUAAAGAAAUAAAACUUUUAACAACGGAUCUCUUGGCUCUC
RNAcentral lists this unclassified non-coding RNA (187 nucleotides) under plant metagenome. RNAcentral's name for it is "partial contains small subunit ribosomal RNA, internal transcribed spacer 1, and 5.8S ribosomal RNA". The record is from RNAcentral.